This 468-nucleotide ribosomal RNA is filed under the name uncultured bacterium. RNAcentral describes it as "partial 16S ribosomal RNA". It matches the Rfam family "Bacterial small subunit ribosomal RNA", at positions 28 to 507 of the family's 1533-position model. The record is from RNAcentral.
GACGAACGCUGGCGGCGUGCUUAACACAUGCAAGUCGAACGGAAAGGCCCUGCUUUUGUGGGGUGCUCGAGUGGCGAACGGGUGAGUAACACGUGAGUAACCUGCCCUUGACUUUGGGAUAACUUCAGGAAACUGGGGCUAAUACCGGAUAGGAGCUCCUGCUGCAUGGUGGGGGUUGGAAAGUUUCGGCGGUUGGGGAUGGACUCGCGGCUUAUCAGCUUGUUGGUGGGGUAGUGGCUUACCAAGGCUUUGACGGGUAGCCGGCCUGAGAGGGUGACCGGCCACAUUGGGACUGAGAUACGGCCCAGACUCCUACGGGAGGCAGCAGUGGGGAAUAUUGCACAAUGGGCGGAAGCCUGAUGCAGCAACGCCGCGUGCGGGAUGGCGGCCUUCGGGUUGUAAACCGCUUUCGCCUGCGACGAAGCGUGAGUGACGGUAAUGGGUAAAGAAGCACCGGCUAACUACGUG